Molecule: ribosomal RNA, 292 nt
Filed under: uncultured prokaryote
Description: partial 16S ribosomal RNA
Rfam family: Archaeal small subunit ribosomal RNA
Source: RNAcentral
GUGCCAGCCGCCGCGGUAAUACCGGCAGCCCGAGUGAUGGCCGAUUUUAUUGGGCCUAAAGCGUCCGUAGCUGGCCGCACAAGUCCAUCGGAAAAUCCACCCGCUCAACGGGUGGGCGUCCGGUGGAAACUGUGUGGCUUGGGACCGGAAGGCGCGACGGGUACGUCCGGGGUAGGAGUGAAAUCCCGUAAUCCUGGACGGACCGCCGAUGGCGAAAGCACGUCGCGAGAACGGAUCCGACAGUGAGGGACGAAAGCUAGGGUCUCGAACCGGAUUAGAAACCCCAGUAGUC